RNAcentral lists this ribosomal RNA (429 nucleotides) under Chloroflexota bacterium. RNAcentral describes it as "Chloroflexi bacterium partial 16S ribosomal RNA". It matches the Rfam family "Bacterial small subunit ribosomal RNA", at positions 355 to 776 of the family's 1533-position model. The record is from RNAcentral. Lineage: Bacteria; Bacillati; Chloroflexota.
UGGGGAAUAUUGCACAAUGGGCGCAAGCCUGAUGCAGCCAUGCCGCGUGUAUGAAGAAGGCCUUCGGGUUGUAAAGUACUUUCAGUCGGGAGGAAGGUGGUAAGGUUAAUAACCUUAUCAAUUGACGUUACCGACAGAAGAAGCACCGGCUAACUCCGUGCCAGCAGCCGCGGUAAUACGGAGGGUGCAAGCGUUAAUCGGAAUUACUGGGCGUAAAGCGCACGCAGGCGGUUGAUUGAGUCAGAUGUGAAAUCCCCGGGCUUAACCCGGGAAAUGCAUCUGAUACUGGUCAGCUAGAGUCUUGUAGAGGGGGGUGGAAUUCCAUGUGUAGCGGUGAAAUGCGUAGAGAUGUGGAGGAAUACCGGUGGCGAAGGCGGCCCCCUGGACAAAGACUGACGCUCAGGUGCGAAAGCGUGGGGAGCAAACAGG